Molecule: non-coding RNA, 2946 nt
Organism: Cricetulus griseus (Chinese hamster)
Lineage: Eukaryota; Metazoa; Chordata; Mammalia; Rodentia; Cricetidae
Source: RefSeq, a predicted model, not a curated record
CUUUGUACCUAAUAUAUCUCUGUAUUAUUUUGUCCAUCCAUGUGACAGGCAGAACUCGGGCGGCUGGGGGAGACCGCCCACGUGGUGGUAGGGCUCAGGCGGCUUUGGCAGAAAGAUUUAUAGUAAUAGCCACUCUCACUUGUAUGGUCCCUGCUGUGGCAUAGCCCCCAGACUUGAACCAAGCCACAUGCUGUGGCCCAGAUCCCAGGCCUCUGUGUGGACCCUAGUGGCAACCUAGGCCACAGACUUCAACACAGACCCCAGCUGCAGCUGGGCCACAGACCCAGGCACGACCCCAGGCAGCAGCUCAGCCUGGUCAACAUCCUAGCUCCAGGUGGAAGCACUCAGAUCAGGAUGGUUCUGGCAGCAGCAUGCACCAACAAGGCCACAGGAUGCAGCCCAGACCCCAGGCUUCAUGUGGCCUUUGGUGGAAACAUGGGCAAUGAGCAUCAACAUAGACCUUGGCUGCAGUAGGACCAUGGACCCAGACCAGACAUGGUCCUUGGCAGCAGCCUGGCUCGGACAUCAACAUGGCCCAGGUGGCAAGCAGACCUCCCCCUAAGUCUACUCCUCACUGCCUUCACCAUGGCCCCAGGUGGCUAGCAGGCCUCCAAUAACUGCCCACUCUUCACUGUCUUCAUUUCUUCCUUUCUGGGUCUUUCCACAUUACAUGAACCAUUCUGUUUCUUCUCUCUCAUUUCUCCAUCACGUUUGCUUAUCAUAAUGAGGCCCACCUGUCAGGCGCCACAGUGCACCUGCUGGGCCCAUGGAUCUCUUCCCACCAGCCAGAGACUUGAAGACCCUGGCUAGGUGGGGUGUGGAUAUCUUCCCACAGGGAAUUUCUUUUCAGUGUUAAUUUCUAAUUUAGUUCCCUGUGGUGGUUUGGAAGAAAAUGGCCUGCAAAGGGAGUGGCACUAUUGGGAGGUGUGGCCUUGUUGGAGUCGGCUUGGCCUUGGUGGGGGAAGUGUGUCACUGUGGAGGUGGGCUUUGAGAUCUUUUGCUUAAGUUUUGCUCUGUGUCACAGUCUCCUUCAGUUGCCGACGAGAUGUAGGACUCUCAGCUACUACUCCAGCACCACAUCUGCCUGCACACUGCCAUGCUCCCUGUCAUAAUGAUAUGGACUGAACCACUGAAAGGGAAUUCCAUUUUGAGACAAACAAAAUUAUGCACGUUUCCUCCAGCAACUUGAGCAAGAGAUGCUGAUCAGAACAUGAGUGCUCUCAAGCCCACUGUCUCCUGGGCUGCAGUAAUCACAAAAGUACUAACAUUGGGGCUGGACUGAACUGCUGCAAUGGGGCACCACACUGUCACCUUUAUCACCUUCUGCUGUGCUAUGGGACAUAGGACAUACUCCUCCAAGCCAGCUCCAGGGCAGUUACCACAUUUCAAAACGAUAUACUCUGGGUGCCACAGCAGGGCUGGAGCUGCUGAGUGAGACGCUGGGGAAGAUACAAGGAAAAGAAGGAAUUGUGGCUGCAUCCCCCAAGCUUGAGGCCUGGUCAGCUUCACUACUAAAGCCAACGAUAAAAGUGCAUACAAAACCUUCCCAAAGGGACAAACGGCAAGAUGGCCACCAUAGGACUGCCCUCUGAACAUCCACCCAUCCACCAGGGCAUCUGUCACAUGGCAGUGGGUGUCUUAAACAUUAGAACAUACACAGAGUUUUUCUGGGAGCUUUCUUUACCCCUGGAGACCCUCAAGUGUUUCUACUGUCACAACAAAACCCCCAGUCUUGGGGCUGGAGAGAUAGCUUGCAGCUACAAGCCUGGAGAGAGGAAGGAAGUAUUCUACCAAGUAAGCCCAGAGCUCAUGGGAGCACCCUCAGAGCAGAGGAAGUUCCCUGUCAAAGACAAGACUCUUCACCAUGCUCAGAAAUUCACCAAGCUUUGACCAGCCCUGACUGCGGAGCUAAAGGGGGCUAGAGAAAAAGGACCUAAAACAGGAAAUGAACUAACAAGGAAGAGGACAAAGCUAGUACCUGAUGGUAGAUGCAGACACGUUUCAUUUAUAUUCCAUGGAAUAACCAUUCUCUCCCUGGAGGGAAGUCACUGAAGAAAGUAAGCAGGCUUCUGGACAUCCGUGAAACCCCUUGUUCCUGAGGAGAACUGCUAUUGGAAGAGGCACAUUUUACCCCUCUUUGCGCGCGUGUCCAUCAGUGAACAGUCCCAAGGUACUAUGCUGAAAUGCUUCCUCAGUGAAAGAUGAGCCCGUCAGACAAAUGGCCGUCUGCUCCUGCUGAUGACGUUCCCUUUAGGGUUCUGGUCAGUGCUGAAUCUACAGGAAAGCCAUACUACUGUCAGCUGUCUCCUAUCUUCCACACUCAGGCUGGCUAGACCUCUGAAGCUCCUAGCACCUGUACCUAUCACAGCACAGCUUCUAUAAUCACUGCAGGGAAGGACAUGGCAUUCCCUCUCUAGUCAGCUGACCACAGAAUGACCAAUGCAACAAUCACCAGAGCUGGCUCAGUGUUCCCUCCCUCUGUGUCAGAGAAUUUUCCCUGGUGGGAGAAGGGUGGCCUUCCACUCCCUUAUCUACUAAGGGGGCUUCAUGAGGUGUUUCUUGUGAUCAUUAUGAGUUAUUCUCUAACUCAGACCCCUCUGUCCUUCCCAAGAAACACAGAGGAGAAACUGCUAAGAAACUGCUAAGUCCAACAAUGUGGGGCAGAUGGAACCCCAACAGCCACACUGAUGGCUCUGCUCCCAAGGACAAGGAGCUAAGCUGAGUUAAGAAGCAGAUGGUGAGGGGAUUCUAAACCCUUUCUUGCUGGACACACCGAGACACAUGCUCUCAACACAGGAAAAAUGGGUUCCUGCCCAGUUUGAAUCAGGCUACACAAACACAACUGAACUUGUAGAAUAUGUACAGGAAGAGCUUGUAGGCAGGAGGCUUACUGGCAAGCAUGUGUAUAUGUCAGAAAUAAACCUCAAAACAAUUCAGAUUCCCAAA